RNAcentral lists this ribosomal RNA (253 nucleotides) under uncultured bacterium. Its description in RNAcentral is "partial 16S ribosomal RNA". It matches the Rfam family "Bacterial small subunit ribosomal RNA", at positions 524 to 776 of the family's 1533-position model. The record is from RNAcentral.
GACGAACCGUGCGAACGUUAUUCGGAAUCACUGGGCUUAAAGGGUGUGUAGGCGGUCUGUCAAGUCAGGGGUGAAAUCCUUCGGCUUAACCGGAGAACAGCCCCUGAUACUGAUGGGCUCGAGGGAGAUAGAGGCAGCCGGAACUACCGGUGGAGCGGUGAAAUGCGUUGAUAUCGGUAGGAACGCCAGAGGCGCAAGCGGGCUGCUGGAUCUCUUCUGACGCUGAGACACGAAAGCUAGGGGAGCAAACGGG